AUGGUAGGAGAUGAGGACAAGCAGCGCAGGCUCUUCCCGGAAGCUCAGAUCCCUCUGUUCUCCACGGGCAUUGGCCAGGCAGGGCACUACCUGCAUCUCUGCCUGACCUACCACCUACCUCUGGUCUGUGCCACUUUGAUCCUGCUGCUCCUUGGCCUUUCUGGCCUGGGUCUUGGUGGCUUCCUCCUCACCCACAGAGCUGACUGCAUAGCCCUGACAUCUCCCAGGACUGGGUCUCCUUAUUAAGAUCUUUUGGCCAGCUGACCCUGUGCCCCGUGAAUGGGACAGUCACAGGGAAGGGGCGUGGGUCUCAUGUCAUGGGCUUACUGGCCACCUUGAACUUCGGAGAUGGUCCAGACAGGAACAAGAGCCAGACAUUCCAAGCCCAGGUCCAGGGUAGUCAGAUGGGAUUGAAAGGAUCUUUUGCAGGAAAGCUGGUCCUUGUUACGGCCAGGGUGAUCACAAAAAGGACCCCAGGAACCUGCCUGUAUUUUAGUGCUACUCCAGAAAUCCUGCCCUCCAGCCAGCCACUGAUACCCUGCUCAGAGGAGGGAGCAGGAAAUGCCACCCUGAGUCCUAGAAUGGCUGAGGAGUGUGUCAGUGUCUGGAGCCACGAAGGUCUUGUGUUCAUCAAGUUGCUCACCUCGGAGAAGCUGGUUCUGCGUGGCUCUCGGCUACUGGUUUUGGGCUUCUUCCUGAUUCUGUUCUGUGGCCUCUGCUGUCUCACUGCAGCAUGCUUCCAUCCAUGCCGGGAGUCUCACUGGUCUAGAACCCGGCUCUGAGGGCUCUGGCUUAGUUCCUGUCUCGCUCUCAGGUGUGGAUCAACUUCUUGGGCUUUGAUUCUGAGUUGGAAGAGAUGUUACCAAAAGUGGAGAGCUGGAAUGUGGGAGGAAAUAAAAGGCUUUUUUGCUCAAU
Molecule: RNA transcript, 915 nt
Organism: Capra hircus (goat)
Lineage: Eukaryota; Metazoa; Chordata; Mammalia; Artiodactyla; Bovidae
Gene name: insulin-like growth factor-binding protein 3 receptor pseudogene
Exons: 2
Source: RefSeq, a predicted model, not a curated record